Molecule: ribosomal RNA, 1493 nt
Filed under: uncultured bacterium
Lineage: Bacteria
Description: bacterial SSU rRNA
Rfam family: Bacterial small subunit ribosomal RNA
Source: RNAcentral
AGAGUUUGAUCCUGGCUCAGAUUGAACGCUGGCGGCAUGCCUUACACAUGCAAGUCGAACGGCAGCGCGGACUUCGGUCUGGCGGCGAGUGGCGAACGGGUGAGUAAUGCCUAGGAAUCUGCCCAUUAGCGGGGGACAACGUGCGGAAACGCACGCUAAUACCGCAUACGCCCUACGGGGGAAAGCAGGGGACUCUUUGAGCCUUGCACUAAUGGAUGAGCCUAGGUCAGAUUAGCUAGUUGGUGGGGUAAAGGCCUACCAAGGCGACGAUCUGUAGCGGGUCUGAGAGGAUGAUCCGCCACACUGGAACUGAGACACGGUCCAGACUCCUACGGGAGGCAGCAGUGGGGAAUAUUGGACAAUGGGCGCAAGCCUGAUCCAGCCAUGCCGCGUGUGUGAAGAAGGCCUUUUGGUUGUAAAGCACUUUAAGCGAGGAGGAGGCUACUGGUACUAAUAUUACCAGCUAGUGGACGUUACUCGCAGAAUAAGCACCGGCUAACUCUGUGCCAGCAGCCGCGGUAAUACAGAGGGUGCGAGCGUUAAUCGGAAUUACUGGGCGUAAAGCGCGCGUAGGCGGUUUGUUAAGUCGGAUGUGAAAUCCCCGGGCUCAACCUGGGAAUUGCAUUCGAUACUGGCAAGCUAGAGUAUGGGAGAGGAAGGUAGAAUUCCAGGUGUAGCGGUGAAAUGCGUAGAGAUCUGGAGGAAUACCGAUGGCGAAGGCAGCCUUCUGGCCUAAUACUGACGCUGAGGUGCGAAAGCAUGGGGAGCAAACAGGAUUAGAUACCCUGGUAGUCCAUGCCGUAAACGAUGUCAACUAGCCGUUGGGGGAUUUGAUCCUUUAGUGGCGCAGCUAACGCGAUAAGUUGACCGCCUGGGGAGUACGGUCGCAAGACUAAAACUCAAAUGAAUUGACGGGGGCCCGCACAAGCGGUGGAGCAUGUGGUUUAAUUCGAUGCAACGCGAAGAACCUUACCUGGUCUUGACAUAGUGAGAAUUGGGCAGAGAUGCCCGAGUGCCUUCGGGAAUUCACAUACAGGUGCUGCAUGGCUGUCGUCAGCUCGUGUCGUGAGAUGUUGGGUUAAGUCCCGCAACGAGCGCAACCCUUGUCAUUAGUUGCUACGAAAGGGCACUCUAAUGAGACUGCCGGUGACAAACCGGAGGAAGGUGGGGAUGACGUCAAGUCCUCAUGGCCCUUAUGGGUAGGGCUUCACACGUCAUACAAUGGUACAUACAGAGGGCCGCCAACCCGCGAGGGGGAGCUAAUCCCAGAAAGUGUAUCGUAGUCCGGAUCGCAGUCUGCAACUCGACUGCGUGAAGUUGGAAUCGCUAGUAAUCGCGGAUCAGCAUGCCGCGGUGAAUACGUUCCCGGGUCUUGUACACACCGCCCGUCACACCAUGGGAGCGGGUUUUACCAGAAGUAGGUAGCUUAACCGUAAGGAGGGCGCUUACCACGGUAGGAUUCGUGACUGGGGUGAAGUCGUAACAAGGUAACC